GAUGGAACUAAGAAGGCAUAUGUUAGGUUGACACCUGAUUAUGAUGCUCUGGAUGUUGCUAACAAAAUAGGAAUCAUCUAAAUGGUAGACGAUCAAUUUUUGCAUCUAAGCCUUUCUUUUGGGGAUUGGACCAGAAUACUUUCAAUUUUGUACUCCUAAGUUUGUUAUUUGAUUUAGAUGUUGGAGCUUUAGACUGAAUGGUGCAAGUUAUGGAGAGAUUUUGAUUAGAUUGACUUAAUUUAUAUAUUUUUCCAUGGUUUCUGCCAUUUUCAAAUCCUUUUAAAUCUGCUUUCCAAGAUACACUAGUUCUAUUACUAUAAAGAUUCUUUGCAUAUCUUUUUCCUAUUAUCGAACAUGUUAGGUACUGCCCCUUACAAAAAAGAACAUGAUUGGUAGUGUAAUCAACAUAAAUUUACUGCAAAUGUCUAGCCAUUACUAAGAAUAUUUUCAUUGUUUGGUAAUCUACAGUUCAUUUCCUCUACCCUAUCUCCCACAACUCCUCCUACGUCCCCUCAACAGAUUCACGGUUUCUUCGUUCUUUUCUGUUUGUCUUAUCAUGGUGUUCCAAUAAAUCACAUUUCGCUAGGACCGAACCGAAACUGGACUGAAACUGCCAUCGGUUCUCUGUCCGAUUCGGUCCAAAACCGCAAUUUUCGGCAGUUCGUGAAAAAAACAAAAAAAUCACAUUUUUAAACAUAUUUUAACCUGUUUAACAAUAAUAAUUCAAUACACCAAAAAUCCUUAAAAUAAAAUCUAUAAACUAGCUCCAAUAAAAAGCUACAAAGUCCAUAAUCAAGUAUAUUUGAUUUUAGAAAUUAAUGUUUCAAUUCAAAAUAUUUGAUUUUUGAAAUUAAUUAAAAUAUUAUUAAUAUUAAUAAAAAUAUAAAAUAUAUAUUUAAUAUAUAUAUUCGGUUCGGUUUUCGUCGGGUUUAGCCUCCCCGGAACCGAAAUCGAACCGAUAAACUAUUGGUCCAUCAAAAAAGAACUGGACCGGACCAAUAAGUAGACCAAAACCGACUCAGACCGACAAAAUAGAUCGGUUCGGUCCGGUUCGUCGGUUCUGGUUCAAUUUUUUUUUGCUAACCCCUAGCAUCAAGUUUAGCUACCUCCUUCAGCUCCGGCCAGUACCUGUCCUCCUUAUUGCCGACUGACAGCGACCUCACCUAGGUCUCCUGCUCCGCGUGCUGCCCACCCCCUUCCACCCUCACAGCUCCGCCACCAUUUUAGACAAACAAGAAACAUUAAUUAAACAACUUUAUUAAUAUAUAUAUAUAUAUAUAUAUAUAUAUAUAUAUACACACACACACACACGNUUCUUGUUAUAUUUAUGAUAAACAUGCUUGUUUAUCAUUGUGUUGCUUGUUGUACUACAAAUUUUUUGUUUAGCCAAUACUUACCGUUCUUUUAAUGGGCACUACUGAUUUGGGGUAAAUGGCUGUAUUAUUGUUAUGGAAAUCUAGCCACUUCUUUUGUUUGUUAGCUAAUUUUUGCUUUUACUUGUAUAUCCACAGGUGAUGCAGGUAAGAAGUCAGACGCCAAGGCUCAAGCCUUAAAGGCGGCCAAGGCUGUAAAAGCAGGUGCAACAACCUUUAAGAAGAAGGCCAAGAAAAUACGCACUAAAGUUACCUUCUAUCGGCCGAAGACAUUGACAAAGGAAAGGAAUCCCAAGUAUCCUCGCAUUAGUGCUGUUCCUCGCAACAAACUUGACCACUACCAGAUUCUUAAAUACCCUCUCACCACAGAGUCUGCAAUGAAGAAAAUUGAAGAUAACAACACACUAGUUUUCAUUGUUGACAUUCGUGCUGAUAAGAAAAAGAUCAAAGCCGCUGUCAAGAAAAUGUAUGACAUCCAGACGAAGAAAGUGAACACCCUUAUCAGGUGAACAAUGAUUCCAUCAAUCUUUCUGCAAUUUACAUGUUGCAUCUGAACUGUUGGCCUGUGAUUGUGUCUUAACUUUUGUCUCAUAAUAUGUUUAGGUUUUUCAAUGUUACUACUUUCAUCUAGAAGUUUUAGUGAUAAACAACAUUAGCUUGAAAAUUUGAAUAUCGUGUGCAUCUGAACUAUUGCUUGAAGCUGGGUAAUGCAGUCAUAGUAUGCAAGAUGACUUUGUUUAGAAGUUAUCUAUCAUCCAUUCAUGCUACUUUGUGUAACAAACAAGGUAUCAAAUUCAUUUUUUGCUUCAUGGUAACUGACUUAUGAUCUGAUCUGUUUCAGGCCGGAUGGAACUAAGAAGGCAUAUGUUAGGUUGACACCUGAUUAUGAUGCUCUGGAUGUUGCUAACAAAAUAGGAAUCAUCUAAAUGGUAGACGAUCAAUUUUUGCAUCUAAGCCUUUCUUUUGGGCAUUGGACCAGAAUACUUUCGAUUUUGUACUCCAAAGUUUGUUAUUUGAUUUAGAUGUUGGAGCUUUAGACUGAAUGGUGCAAGUUAUGGAGAGAUUUUGAUUAGAUUGACUUAGUUUAUUUAUUUUUCCAUGGUUUCUGCCAUUUUCAAAUCCUUUUAAAUCUGCUUUCCAAGAUACACUAGUUCUAUUACUAUAAAGAUUCUUUGCAUAUCUUUUUCCUAUUAUCGAACAUGUUAGGUACUCCCCCUCAAAAAAAGAACAUGAUUGGUAGUGUAAUCAACAUAAAUUUACUGCAAAUGUCUAGCCAUUACUCAUAAUACUUUCAUUGUUUGGUUAUCUACAGUUCAUUUCCUCUGCCUUAUCUCCCACAACGCCUCCUACGUCCCCGCAACAGAUUCACGGUUUCCUCGUUCUUUUCUGAUUAGCUUAUCAUGGUGUUCCAAUAAAUCACAUUUCGCUAGGACCGAACCGAAACUGGACUGAAACUGCCAUCGGUUCUCUGUCCGAUUCGGUCCAAAACCGCAAUUUUCGGCAGUUCGUGAAAAAAACAAAAAAAAUCACAUUUUUAAACAUAUUUUAACCUGUUUAACAAUAAUAAUUCAAUACACCAAAAAUUCAUAAAAUAAAAUCUAUAAACUAACUCCAAUAAAAAGCUACAAAGUCCAUAAUCAAGUAUAUUUGAUUUUAGAAAUUAAUGUUUCAAUUCAAAAUUCAAAAUAUUUGAUUUUAGAAAUUAAUUAAAAUAUUAUUAAUAUUAAUAAAAAUAUAAAAUAUAUAUUUAAUGUGUAUAUUCGGUUCGGUUUUCGUCGGGUUUGGCCUUCCCGGAACCGAAAUCGAACCGAUAAACUAUUGGUCCAUCAAAAAAGAAUCGGACCGGACCAAUAAGUAGACCAAAACCGACAAAAUCGAUCGGUUCGGUCUGGUUCAAUUUUUUGCUAACCCCUAGCAUCAAGUUUAGCUACCUCCUUCAGCUCCGGCCAGUACCUGUCCUCCUUAUUGCCGACUAACAGCGACCUCACCUGGGUCUCCUGCUCCGCGUGCUGCCCACCCCCUUCCACCCUCACAGCUCCGCCACCAUUUUAGACAAACAAGAAACAUUAAUUAAACAACUUUAUUAAUAUAUAUAUAUAUAUAUAUAUAUAUAUAUAUAUACACACACACACACACAGGGACACACACAUAAGCAGUGGAGGGCUACAGUAAAAACACUUCUUAAAAUAUAAAUAAAAUUAUUUUUUAAUGUACGAAUUUUAUCAACAGGGUUACGAAUUCAUCCAACAGGGUUACGAAUUGUGAAAAAUAAAUUUUUGCUAACUUUGGGAUUCGAAUCCAGAACCACAAAUUCAUCCAACAUGGUUACGAAUCAACCGUAGAUCUUGAUGAUCUAAGGGCUGAAAAUUAUUUAUAUUUUAUAUUUUAAAAAGUGUUUUUAUUUUAGCCCUCCCCUAUAUUUAUUAUCUAUUAUCUAUAUAUAUAUAUAUAUAUAUAUAUACACACACACACACAUAUAUAUAUAUAUAUAUAUAUAUAUAUAUAAGUGUAGGAUCCACAUAUUUUGAAGGGUUAAUAUAUAGAAUCAACUAUUUUGAUACAAGGAAGAUUAAAAUAGUCGCAAUUAUAACAAUAUAUAAAAUAUGACUAUUUUUUUUAAUGUGAUAAUAUUAUUCUUCAUUGAACUCAAAAUGAGGAAUGUAAAAUAGUACUCCCUUCGUCCCAGCUUUUAGUAUCCAACUUUCAUUUUUUGGUCGUCCCACAUUUUAGUAUCCAUUUCUAUUUUUGGUAAAAGUAGGUGGGGCCCUUACUCCACUUUAAUUAUUUUAACUCUCACAUAAAAUGUGGGACCCUUAUUCCACUCACAACACAUCAAUCACUUUAUUAAAACCCGUGCCGUUCUCAACUGGAUACCAAAAGCCGGGACGGAGGGAGUAUUUUUUUUUUUUUUGUAGAAAAUGAAGAAAUCAAAUGAGAGAAUUAAGGGNNNNNNNNUUUUUCAUGAUAAAUUUACAGCCAAAAGAGAAAUGUACAAUAUUAAAUUUAAUACUCCUUCUGUCCUACUAGAAUAGACUCGUUUUCUAUUUUGGGAUUCCCCACUAGAAUAGUCUCGUUUUUCCAUUUUGAGAGAUUAACAAUAUUCAUUACAUGCUUAAUUGGUGUGGACUAUGUCAUUUUUCCCUUCAUAAGUAAGUUUCUUAAUAUCCAUACUCAAAAGAAAUUAAACUUAUUUUAAUGGGAUGAAUGAACUAUUAAGUUAAAAUAAAUAAAAAGAAAAUAGAAUUAGUUACUCAGUCCGUCUAUGAAAAAAAAGUCUUAAUUUAUCAUUUUCGUCCAACCACAAAAAAAAAAUUGUAACUUCUUUUUUCAAAUAAUCUCACUACUAUUACUUUUAAAAUUGUUACAUAUUUACACAUAUUAUAAUUCAUUAAUCCACCAUCUUUUAAUUUGUGGAUCAUUUCUCUCCCUAAUUUUCUCCAUCUUUUUUAAUUUGUGGAACUUUUGAUCUCCUCACUCCAUAAACAAGUAACUUUACUUAGGGGUGGACCGAUACGAUAUGCAAAAAAAAAUUCGUCAUACCGUAUAUUGUACCGUAAAUUGCGGUAUGAGAUUUUUCAUACCGUUGCCGUACCAAACUCUUCGGUAUAUUGAAGAUCGGUGUACCGAAAAAUUUGGUAUGAACUUUUUCAUGCUGAUAUCGUACCAAUAGUGCGGUAUACCGUACCAAAAUUAUUGAUAUAUUGUUUCAUGUCUAAAUUAUCAAAAUUAUUAAUGAAUUUAUAUUUUGUAAGUUGUCAUUAAUUCUUUAAUAAUUAUGAUUUAUAUAUAUAUAUAUAUAUAUAAUUUAUCACUAAUUAUAUAUAUACAUAUAUAAAUUAUUUCAAUCGAUACGGUAUGCCGGUUUGAUAUAUACCGAAAUAAUUGGUAUAUACCGAUUUUUCAAUAUAUACCGUGGUAUUGGUAUAUAACGGUAUAUUGCGGUAUGAGGAAAAUUGAUAAUGUUAUCGCACCGAAAUUUUUCGAUACGGUAUCAUGUCGUACCGAAAUUUACAGUAUACCAAAAGUUUGAUAUUUUCGAUAUUUUUUCAAUACGAUAAGUGUGAUAUACCGAUUUUUCAUUAGUUUGGUCCACCCCUAACUUUGCUUAUAAUUCAUGCCAACUUUCAUUAAGAUUUCUCUUUGUGCAGGCAAUGAAUAGUACUCCAUCCGUCCUAUUAAUUAAGACACACUUUCUUUAUUGUGUUGUCCCACUAAUAAAGACACACUUCUAAAUAAGGAACUAAUUAGGGAAUAAGAAUACUUAAUUAACUACACCUUAAUUACAUUAUAAAUACGAAACAAAACCCUAAAUUCUUUCUUUAUGUCUCUGCCUCUCCGCAACUCUCUCUGCCUUCUCCGGCCGAUGGCGGCUCCGGCGCCGCGCCCUGACCGCCUUCCUUCCUCCCCUCGCAUAUCUCUCUGUCCGACCCCUCUCUCUUUUCCCUCUCGGUUCUCCCCAUCUCUCUCGCUCAUCUCUCUUUCUCUAGACCUCUGUGUAUGCCGCCGCCGCCUUCUCCGACCAAACAGUCGCCACACAUCCUCUCCUAUUCUCCGGCGGAUCUGGUUCUAGUGGCUAGGGUUUGCAGGGGCGUUGGAUUUUGGGCGAGAGGCGUUCGAUUUUUGGGUGAGAACCCCUCCGCCUUGUUUCUGGAAUCCUUUCGACUUGGUUCGAUUUUGGGCGAGAGGCGUUCGAUAUUAGGCUUCUCACAAUAGCUAUUGUUGUAAGUAGUUACAUAUAUGAAAGAAUUUUGAUUCAUUGAAAUAAUUAAGGAUAAAAAGGUUGUGAUUGUGCGAAGUGCAACAGGGGAUUUUGAGGUCUGGAGUGAUGUUCACUCUGGUGGCGUGGUGGGAGAAGACCAUUGUUCGUGUCGUGUCGGUGUUCAACCCUUUGCUGCUUGUGAUUGUGACCAUUGCAAGAUCCUUGAUUUUGGAAGAGAAACAGUAAUUUUAAAAAAAUUACAAACAGAAAAAUCGAAAAUAAAAAGAAUAAUUAAAUUAAUUAAAAAUUUCAAAAUUCUGAAUUUUAAAAAAAAAUCAAUAUAAAAUGUAAAAUAAAAGUAAAUUAAUUCAAUAAACAAAAUUUAAUCAAUUGCACUAAUGACGUGGGCUUCAAUCCUUUAUCACUUAAAAUACCUCUCUUUAAUUGCUGUGUCCAAAUGAAGUGUGUCUUCAUUAUUGGGACGGAUGGAGUAUUUAACACGAAAAGAAAACCCUAACCCUAAUUAAUUACUUGUCCCCCCAUUCAGCCCACGCCGCACACCAUCUCGUCGCUUCCAUCCGCGGUGAAGAAAGUAAGCAACGUCUUUUCCAUUCUUCACUCUGCAUCUCGCAACCGCCUCCGUCAAGUUAAUCCCUUGCUCCAUUUUUUGUUGUUUCUUAGUUUAGUCAUCGCUCUAUUGCGUUCUUCUUCACCGUUUAUUAACUAGUCUCUUCCAUUUAUUUGACGCUAAAAUGCCGAUAUCCUCAAUUUGUCAUUGAAUCGUAUUAAAUACUCCAUUUUCCCCAUUUUUCUGGAGCAGAAAAUGCUCAAACUUGUAUGUCUGCUUGCUGGCUUUUUGGAUUUUCUUUGUUAAAGUUAUGUCAAUUGAAGUGCUUGAAACGGGAAAGUGAAUUUCUUUGUUACAAAUUUCUACUUGUGACCUGCGAAUUUGAAUAUGAGUUUAGCUCAAUGCAUUUACCUAGGUGUGAAAUAUCCCGGGAAAGGGUUGAGUUAUAGCUAUUGGGUUAUCUAAUUUGUAUGUUUGUACAGGUAAAAAGUUGCAUUAGGGUUACUUCCGUCUCAAAUGGCUCCAGCUAAAGGUACGAUAGUAUUUCUAUUUAGGUUUCAGAUUUUCAGAAUAUUGUUGUCUUUGUGGUAGAAAUUCUGAAUUGCUUCUUACAAUUUCGGGAAAGCAGCUACAAACUGCAAUUCUAAUAAUCAAAAUUUGGGGUGAAUGUUAUUUGAAUGAGCUGUUGCUUGAAGAGUAGAUUAAUAGAUAUUUCAGGAAUUGGUCCGAUAAUAUGUGAGAAUGAAAUCAGUAUUUUGUUUGGCUGCAUUGUGAGGUUGACUUAGAAUUGCAUUUUUAUCCAUGAUUAAACCUUGAUACAAUAUUGUGAGAGACCCCUGUCCUACAGUGGUUAGAGUUAUCAUUUAUUUAUGAUAUUUAUAUAAAACACUCUUUAACAUGGCAUAUAUGUAUCCAUCUACCUGGUUGUUUCUGGUUUAUCAUUGUGUUUCUUGCUAAACUACAAAUUAUCAUGAUAUUAAAACUGUAACUACAGUUUUCUCUCAUCCAACUUUUCUCUCAUUCAAUUUGGGUUGGUAAUCAUUAUAUUCCCAUUUCCCAAUUGGUUUUAGCCAUUACUUACCGUUGUUGAUGGGCACUACUGAUUUGGGGUAAGAGGGUCUUUAUUGUUAUGGAAAUCUAGCCCCUUCUUUUGUUUGUUUGCUAAUUUUCGCUUUUGCUUGUAUAUCUACAGGUGAUACAGGUAAGAAGUCAGAUGCCAAGGCUCAAGCCUUAAAGGCGGCCAAGGCUGUAAAAGCAGGUGCAACAACCUUUAAGAAGAAGGCCAAGAAAAUACGCACUAAAGUUACCUUCUAUCGGCCGAAGACAUUGACAAAGGAGAGGAAUCCCAAGUAUCCUCGCAUUAGUGCUGUUCCUCGCAACAAACUUGACCACUACCAGAUUCUUAAAUACCCUCUCACCACAGAGUCUGCAAUGAAGAAAAUUGAAGACAACAACACACUAGUUUUCAUUGUUGACAUUCGUGCUGAUAAGAAAAAGAUCAAAGCCGCUGUCAAGAAAAUGUAUGACAUCCAGACGAAGAAAGUGAACACCCUUAUCAGGUGAACAGUGAUUCCAUCAAUCUUUCUGCAAUUUACAUGUUGCAUGAUUGCAUCUGAACUGUUGGCCUGUGAUUGUGUCUUAACUUUUGUCUCAUAAUAUGUUUAGGUUUUUCAAUGUUACUGUCUGAAAUAGUUUCAUCUAGAAUUUUUAGUGAUAAACAACAUUAGCUUGAAAAUUUUAAUAUCGUGUGCAUCUGAACUAUUGCUUGAAGCUGGGUAAUGCAGUCAUAUAGCAUGCAAGAUGACUUUGUUUAGAAGUUAUCUAUCAUCCAUUCAUGCUCCUUUGUGUAACAAACAAGGUUUCAAAUUCAUUUUUUGCUUCAUGGUAACUGAUUUAUGAUCUGCUCUGUUUCAGGCCGGAUGGAACUAAGAAGGCAUAUGUUAGGUUGACACCUGAUUAUGAUGCUCUGGAUGUUGCUAACAAAAUAGGAAUCAUCUAAAUUGUAGACGAUCAAUUUUUGCAUCUAAGCCUUUCGUUUGGGAAUUGGACCAGAAUACUUUCAAUUUUGUACUCCAAUGUUGCUUUUUGAUUUAGAUGUGGGAGCAUUGAACUGCCCAAGUUACAUUGAGAUUUUGAUUUAGAUUUAUUUAUUUUUCUAGCCUUUCUAAAAUCCUUUUAAAUCUCUUCUCCAAGAUACACUCUAGUUCUAUAAAGAAGGUGCUUUGCUUAUCUUUUUCCUAUCAUCGAACAUGUUUGGUAGUUCAAUCAGCACCAAUUUACU
This 8921-nucleotide long non-coding RNA is filed under the name Salvia miltiorrhiza (redroot sage). Its description in RNAcentral is "long non-coding RNA (SMIL_LNC002731)". The record is from RNAcentral. Lineage: Eukaryota; Viridiplantae; Streptophyta; Magnoliopsida; Lamiales; Lamiaceae.